GGCCGCCUCUUUUGCUCUAGACGAGUCCUUUAUGUCUGCGCCCUGGCUGCGCUUGCGCCGCCAGCGCCAUCUUUUGCCUCCUCCUCUCCUCCCUCCCUUUUUCUAAGGAGGAGACUCUGGAACAGAGAAGCCAGGAGGAGAAGAAGGAGAGAGAGAGAAGCGGCUGAGGCUGAGAAAAAGCCAGGGAGUAGUGGCAGCAAGAGCAGCAAAGGGACGAGGGCGCAACACUUCCAGCCUCUCUUGGUGAAGCUUCCUGCUGACUGGCUCCGUCCCGCUCCAAGGGGGAGGUGGUGACUGGGCGGGCAGGCAGGCAGAGGAAGAGAGCGCCCGGCUGCGCCAGCCUGUCCCCUCGUGUCUCUCCACCCACCCCAGAAUGCCCCACACCUCUUGCUUCUGCUGCUCUUGAUGGGGACGCGUCUGGCGCCCGCCGGCUCCAGCGGACUGUACGUAUACGUGUCGUCGCCUUGGCGGUGGCGGCUUUGCCCCUUCGAGGAUCCCGCUUCCGUAGAGACGGCUAGUGCUACUCCCCUUUCCCCCUUCUGGGAAGAUUGUCGGCUCCCUCUUAUCGGGGAGAUUUGGAAGAGGGGAGAGCAGGUAGGGGCUGUCGGAAGCUUUCUGGUUUAGUCGGGGGCGGCGGCGGCGGCAGCAGCAGCAGCGAGGAUUAUUCGUUCCCUCCCUCCGCAUUGCAAGCGGGGAGGGAGUUCGGCUGGGAGAAGAAGAAAGUGAAUGGCCAGGGCUUGAGUGUCACAUUCCCGGGAGGGGAGGGAGGGAGGAGGGUGCUGGGGGGACUGCCGGCUGGAUCGCCCUCGAAGCGUUCGUGUGCGUGUCUGUCUCCUCCUUUCCCCUCCUCCGCCCGGGUCGGCCGGCUGCCCCAGCCAGCUAGCUAGCUGCGAGGUGCGCCUGUCUCUGCCUGGUCUCUUCCUCUUCUCCUCCAUUCUGGCGGAAUUGCGCUCCUUAAAAUAGCCCUUAUUCAAUGCACCAGCCUGACUCAGCUGCAGACAGUAGUGCGAGGAAGAUGGCGCACCCGGCGAUGCUUCCUAGAAGGGGCAGCGGCAGCAACGUCGUGCCGGCUCUGGCUACAGCGACCACCAGCAGCGUUGGAGGUGGUGGCGGCGGCUCGGAAGAUUAUCCUCCUCCCUUGCUCAUCCAGCCACCGCCUCCUCCUGCCGCAGCAUCUUCCUCUUCGCCCGGGCCUCAGCCGCCGCCCCCUCCUCCGCAGAGCCUGACCCUUCUCUCCCAGCCGCCGCCGCCGCAACCCCUCGGCCAGGCAGGAGCCCAGAUGAAGAAGAAGAGCGGCUUCCAGAUUACCAGCGUGACCCCUGCCCAGAUCUCCGCCAGCCUCAGCUCCAACAACAGCAUCGCUGAGGACACGGAAAGCUACGACGAUCUGGACGAGUCCCACACCGAGGACCUGUCGUCUUCCGAGAUCUUGGACGUUUCCUUAUCCAGGGCUACCGAGCCUGAGCGGAGCUCCUCGGAAGAGACUCUGAACAACUUCCAGGAGGCCGAGACUCCGGGGGCUGUGUCGCCCAACCAGCCUCGUCUUCCCCAGCAGCAGCAGCACCCCCCUUUGCCCCAUCCCCCCCAUCAGCAAAGUGUGGUGAUCAACGGGAGUGUUCAUCCUCCUCAUGGGCACCAUUACCGGCAUCACCAUGCAUCCCAUUCUGGGGUGGGUGGCAUGGCUGCUCCUGGAGGACCUCCACCCAGCCCAUCAUUUAGGAAACUGUCUACCACUGGAAGCUCUGACGGCGUCAUGACAGCAGGUGUCCCGGUUUCUGCUGCAUCAUCCACUGGUACGCCUGUGGCCACGAUUGUGCCUCACUUCCGCACCACCGGUACACCUGGGUUUCCUUCUGCCAGUGGGGCAUUGCCCACAUUAAGCAACGUGGGUAGUAGUAGCCCCGGUGUGGCGAGCGGCAUGCCCGGCCAUGUUAAUAUCAGUCUAAGUAACAUCCCAAGUACUGGUAACAUAAAUGCUUUGUCAGGAACUAGUGGCAGUGUUAAUGUUGCUGUCCUGAGUGGGGUUGGCAACGGCACGAGUGCUUCCUCUAGUGUUGUCAACAAUGGUAGUAAUCCAGUUGCAGGAGCCGUGGCACCAAGUCAGUUGCAGCCUGCAGCCAGCACAUCCAGGUUUAGAGUGGUUAAGCUGGAUUCUAGUUCAGAACCUUUUAAAAAAGGUAGAUGGACGUGCACAGAGUUCUAUGACAAAGAGAACCCUGUGCCAGUUACAGAAGGAGUAGCCGUAAAUAAAACAGUAGACACUCUAAAACAAAACCCCCUUGAAGUGACUUCUGAAAGGGAGAGCACCAGUGGGAGUUCGGUGAGCAGCAAUGUAAGCACACUGAGUCACUAUACGGAAAGUGUGGGAAGUGGGGAGAUGGGAGCACCUACGGUGGUGCCGCAGCAAGCAAUUCAAGGAGUCGGGUCUCAGCAGAUGGAUUUUAGCAGUACUGGCCCUCAACUUUUACCAGCACCUAGUAUACCCCAGAGUAUUUCUCAGUCACAGCUUGUGCAAGUACAGCUUCAUCCUCAAGAUGGAAAUUACCCUCCGCAAAAGCCAGGGGUCCAGCCUCCUGCUUCAACCAGUCUAACCACAGCGCCUGCUCCAGUUAACAUAAUGGGUGGCCAUCAACAACCUGCCAUGCCAUGUAUGGCUCAGCAGCAGCUGCCAUAUGGUCAACCAACACAACCUGUGCAGACUGUUCCAGUUGUGCCACAACCACAGCAAUUACCUUAUGGGCAAGGACAGGCACAGCACCCACCACCACAGCAGAUUCCUAUGCAGAUGGCCUCAGGACACGUUAAGCCAGUCAAUCAAACGUCUGUCUCGGGGCCUGUGCCAGAUUACAUACAACAGCAGCAGAUGCUUCAGACUUCAGCUCCUAUGCAGUCUGUUCCUACAGUGGUAGGGACAGCUCCACCUGUGCCUGUUGCUCAGGCACCAAGUAUGCAGCCUUCUGUACAAGCACACCUGGCAGUGGCAUCCUCUCAGCCUGUGGCACAUGCCCAAACCACAAUGCCCACUGUAGGAGCUGGUGCUCAAAUGAUGAAUGUUGGACAACAAGGAAAUGUACCUCCUGUGGUGCAGCAGCAGCAACCUGUUGUAAACCAAGUUGCCCCUUCAGUGAUGCCGCAAAGUGCUGCUGCUGCUCCACUUCCCCAGGUGGUGCCAUCCAUUUCAACAGGGAUUAUUCAGCCGGGGCCACAAAGCAACACAUCAAGCCUUCCUCAACCCUUGGCUAUUGCUCCACAGAGUACUUUAUUACCAGUGCAAGCUGUGGAAUCUCUUGUUCAAGGAAUGGCUGGUCAACAAUUGCCUGCAGUUAGCCCCGCACCUUCUCUGAGUGCUGUUCCUGUUCCAUGCCAUUCUGCUGCAAACGUGCCCCCUGCUCCUGUGAGCUUGGGUCCCUCAAAGAACAUAGCACAAGCUUCAGGUGUGCAAAAUGGGAACUUAGUCCAAAAUGUCUCUCAGCCUCCCGUGAUAUCCACUAGCAUCAGUUUGCCUGUAGCUCAAAGUGUGCCACAACAGAUACCACUGAACUCCACCCAGUUCUCUGCACAAUCUCUUGCUCAGUCAAACCGAAGUGAAGAUUCCAGACGCCCGACAGAACCUACUUUGGUUGGUUUACCCCAACCUACCAAUGGUGAAGGUGGUGUUGGAGCAUCCUCGAGCAUUUCAGAUGGGGGCAGCAGCAUGGCAUCUCUCUUCCCCCUGAAGGUACUGCCGCUGACAGCGCAGCUCGUUGAUGGUGAGGAUGAGAGUUAUUUCUUCUAAUUUGCUAAACUCUCUUAAACUCUGACUGGAGAAAUGAAUGGAGAAAUGACUUCAGAGGCAACAGACAACAAUUUCCCCUGUCCUUAGAGACUGCCAUGAAGGAUGCAUUCCAUAACUUAAAUGCAAAGCGGAGCACAACCCUCCAUCCUUACAGGGAGGAAUUCUGAAGGGCUCACAAUAAACCUUAGCACCUGUAUAAUGAAGGGGCAUCUUAAAGAUGGAGCAAAUAAUCUGACUGAAGUGGAAACUGACACAUGGAAAUCGUGACCCCUUAUAGGCCAAGCAGGCCUUGUCUGGCUCUCUUUGCCUUUGUGCUUUUGUGUUUAUUUUUGGAAACUUGGUGGUCUAGUUGUGUUAGGCAGCUCUCCCUCCAGACCCCAAGAGAAUGCGACUGAGAGUCUUAUUGGCUAUUCUCCCAUAAUUUCCUCAGCCUUGUAGCCUUUUUAGGUGGAAGGACCUAAAUGAGUGGUUGCUAUGACCCUUCUUCUAGGUAACUUGAUAAUGGUAGGAAAGGCAUUGGCCUCAGAGUCCAUUUCUAGGGGCCUCAGGCAGACUUGGAGUGUCAGCCUCAUAGUGGUGAUAAGUUGCACAUGUGGCCUGGGGGGAGCAUAUGUGUGUCCUUCGGGUCAGUUGCCUUAGUUUCCUCAGAACUGGCCUACAGUUGAGAAGCAACCAAAGGGAAAAGUCUUGCAGCACUUUCAAGUCUAAUAUUUAUUGUGGCAUACGGUUUUUGUUGUUCGUUUUUUGUGAGCUAGAGAUGACUCUGAAAAAGCAGGCUUCUCCCAGGAAAACUCAUGCCAUAGCAAAACUGUUUUUCUUGAAGAUGCCACAAGACACUUGGUUCUGUUUACAGCCUAGCAUGGUUACCCAUUUGAAAUUCAUCAAGGACAAUAAAACUUUGUACAGACAUGAUAUGUGGGUGAACUGCUUCUUUCUGGCUUAUAUGACUCCAGUGAUAAACUGCCUGUUUCUUAAAUAAAUAUUUGGAGAGCUCAUAACUAUUCUCUGUAGCUGACCAGACUCUAAAGUCAAAAUCCAAGCAGGUAAGGAAAACUAGCGGUUGAUUUUCCAUGUUGGUAUUGUGGGACGGCAUACAUAAGGUUAUCUCCCUUUUAUCCUUCUAGCACCCUGUGGGGGUAGGUUAGGCUGAGAGAUGAGUGAUUUGCUCAAGGUCACCCAGUGGGUUUCAUGGCUGAGCAGAGUUUUGAGCCCAAAUCACCCCUGUGCAGUGUUCUGUCUGCUAAAGCAUCUGACUCUCAAGUUACUGAGAAUGUUGUGUGUGUCUAAUUCGUCUGGACUAGACACUUCUAUUAGCCCUCCUUAUGUCUCUGAAUUUCCCCCCUCCUACUUAAUCUUAUUUUUAAAAGUGAUCUAAAAUGAAUGCUAAUAU
Molecule: RNA transcript, 5165 nt
Organism: Hemicordylus capensis (graceful crag lizard)
Lineage: Eukaryota; Metazoa; Chordata; Lepidosauria; Squamata; Cordylidae
Gene: TSC22D1
Gene name: TSC22 domain family member 1
Exons: 3
Source: RefSeq, a predicted model, not a curated record